AUAAGCAUCGGGAUUAUUU
Molecule: microRNA, 19 nt
Filed under: Ananas comosus (pineapple)
Lineage: Eukaryota; Viridiplantae; Streptophyta; Magnoliopsida; Poales; Bromeliaceae
Description: microRNA s0629_c85a
Source: RNAcentral